CGCAUCGUCACCAAUUGAUGCUAUCGCGCCCAGCGUGAAGGGCUGAGCCGCUAAUUACCGUCUGUGGUGGUCAAACGCUGGAUGACAACAACACCUGUAGGAGCACCGCGGAACAUCUGCCCUCUAGUGCCCGUGCUGAAGAGGAUUGAACUUUCUCCUGCAUCAUACUCUUCAUGCAAUCCAGAAUGGCAGCCCAGUUGAAAGGUGCGUGCCGUGUGCUGGAAACACACUCAUGAGCUAAUUCGAGGCAAAGUAAAGCUCUCAUCUGGGAUUGGUAAGAGUCUCUCCAAGCACCCCGAAGACUUCCAGCUCAUUCUUGAUUGCACAUGGCAGCCUCUGACCUGCACCGAAGGCACCCGCUGCCAUGGAAGAUUGAUGAUUAUCGAUGCAGAAACCCUUUGCUAAUUCAGCG
Long non-coding RNA from Labeo rohita (rohu), 412 nucleotides. RefSeq lists it as uncharacterized. The record is from RefSeq and is a predicted model, not a curated record. Lineage: Eukaryota; Metazoa; Chordata; Actinopteri; Cypriniformes; Cyprinidae. The transcript is spliced from 3 exons.